CUACGGGUCGCUGCAGUAAGGAAUAUUGGACAAUGGGGGCAACCCUGAUCCAGCCAUGCCGCGUGAGUGAAGAAGGCCUUCGGGUUGUAAAGCUCUUUUAGGUGCGACGAUGAUGACGGUACCACCAGAAAAAGCUCCGGCUAACUUCGUGCCAGCAGCCGCGGUAAUACGAAGGGAGCGAGCGUUGUUCGGAAUCACUGGGCUUAAAGCGUACGUAGGCGGAUUGGAAAGUCAGAAGUGAAAGCCCGGGGCUCAACCCCGGAAUUGCUUUUGAAACUUCCAGUCUCGAAUCCGGUAGAGGUUGGCGGAAUUCCGAGUGUAGAGGUGAAAUUCGCAGAUAUUCGGAAGAACACCAGUGGCGUAGGCGGCCAACUGGACCGGUAUUGACGCUGAGGUACGAAAGCGUGGGGAGCAAACAGGAUUAGAUACCCGUGUAGUC
RNAcentral lists this ribosomal RNA (439 nucleotides) under uncultured bacterium. RNAcentral's name for it is "partial 16S ribosomal RNA". It matches the Rfam family "Bacterial small subunit ribosomal RNA", at positions 339 to 795 of the family's 1533-position model. The record is from RNAcentral.